RNAcentral lists this long non-coding RNA (4550 nucleotides) under Phaseolus vulgaris (common bean). Its description in RNAcentral is "long non-coding RNA (PVUL_LNC001900)". Lineage: Eukaryota; Viridiplantae; Streptophyta; Magnoliopsida; Fabales; Fabaceae. The record is from RNAcentral.
CUCACUCCCACUGCAUACUCACGCUCUCCUAACCCUUAAUCCUCUUUCUACCUCUGGUCCACCACGAAGCUGCUUCUGGCUUUCCUCCACCGGGAAACCACUUCUCUACAAACCGCGUUUCGUUCACGCAAGAUGUGUUCUGCGAUUUGUUGGAUUUCAAGGUACAAAAGGUGACUACCACUUCUGCAAUACACGUUUCAAGGUGAUUUUUGUUGGAUGAAUUGGCGUUUCCGUUUCCGUGCUGUGUUUUUUACUGGAUCCACGAACUGAUUUUUUACAGGAUGAAAUUCAUUUCUCGGUUCAGUUAGAGGUUCAAAACGUCAACUGAUUUUCUACGGUGUUUUAAUCAUCUGCAACUUGCUUAUGGUUCUGAAAUUUUGCAAGAGUGCAACGCUAUUCCCAGCUAAGUUCUGAAAUCACGUCUACUGAUUUUACUGCUUUGAGAACGAAAUCAGUAUUAAAGUUUUAUAGCAGUUCAGGGAGAUGAUCAAGGAUUACUUCUGUUCCAAUUCCUGUAAGUUGCUUCUUACUCAUCAUCUUAACUCUAGGUAAUUUAUUGUUUGUUACGGUAUUUUAGGAAUUCCUUUUUAACUUUAGUCUGAAUUAAAUAUAGAUUUUUAAACCAUAUAUCAAUCUAGGUUUAAAAAACAGUGAGAAGUGGACUAAUUAGUAUUUCUUUAGUACUUGAAGUGCAGAGUAUAGUAAACACGAUGCAAGAAAAAAGAAAACAGAGAAGAAAAGAAGGACGAGGGAGAUAAAAAGAGAACGAAGAGGUGUGUUUUACGUUUUGAUGUAUCUGAUAACUCUUUUUGCAGCUUUCAUAUGUGUUUCGUUUGGACAGUGCAUGAACCUUGAAAGAAUACUCACAACAUUUAGGAUGUCAGGUCUGGUUGUUGUUAAGUACAUCAGACAACCUAUCAAACUUCUAAACUUAGAUUCAUUAACCUUGUCAGAACCAUCAUCUUUGAUUAGCUUCUCCUUUUGAUUCAUGGGAGUGUUCACAGUUUUGCAAUCUUCCAUCAGAAAUUUCUUGAGUAUUUCCUUUGCAUGUUUUCUUUGACUUAAGAAAACUUCAUCCUGAUUCUGUUUGAUCUCAAUGCCAAGAAAGUAUGACAUAAGACCAAGAUCUGUCAUUUCAAAGACCUUUUUCAUUUCCAGUUUGAACUGGUUGAUUUCUUCAACAUUGCUUCCUGUAACUAACAUGACAUCCACAUAAAGAGAAAUUACCAAAAUAUUUGUACCUUGAUGUUUGACAUACAAUGUGAGUUCAGAUUGGCUUUUAUGAAAGCCAAGGUGCACCAGAUGAUCAUCAACCUUGUUGUACCAGGCUCGUGGAGCUAGCUUUAAUCCAUAUAAAUCCUUUUUCAAAAAGUAGACUUUAUUUUCAUUGCCCUCAUUCACAAAGCCUUCAGGUUGUUCAACAAAAAUUUCUUCUUGCAAAUCUCCAUUUAAGAAUGCAGAUUUAACAUCCAAAUGGUAUACUUUCCAGCUCCUUUGAGCAGCAAGAGCAAGCAAUAAUAUUACAGUGUCAAGCCUGGCAACAGGUGCAAAUGUCUUUGAAUAAUCAACACCAAAAACUUGUGCAUAUCCUUUCACAACAAGUCUUGCUUUGAAUUUGUUGAUAGAACCAUCAGGACUUAGCUUGGUUCUGAAAACCCAUCUUACUCCAAUUAUUUUUCUGUUUAGUCGACCAACCAACUCCCAGGUUUUAUUUUUCUCAAUCAUAGAAAGCUCCUCCUACAUUGCAGCCAUCCAGUGUUGACUGUUUUUUGCAUCGUGAAAUCCUGCAGGCUCACAAACAGCUACAUUGCACCUUUGACAGAUGUCAGACAAUAGUCUUGUUCCUCUGACAGGUGCAUCAUCAACUGUAGCAUCAUCUUCAGAUUCUUCAGUCAUGCUCCCAAGGGUUGAACUGUUUGGAGCAUUUGGACUUUGAUUCACCUUAGUUGAACUUUCCCAAUCCCAUUGUUCAUUUUCAACAAAAUGAACAUCUCUGCUUACAAUCACACGACCAAUUUGUGGCUGAAAAAUUUUGUAAGCUUUGGAUACAGUGCUAUAUCCAACAAAGAUGCUUGCUUAUGCUUUUUUAUCAAGCUUAUCACGCUUGACCUGUGGAAUAUAAGUGAAGCAAAGACAACCAAAUAUUUUGAGAAAUUUUAAAGAAGGUUUGUAGCCAUACCAAGCUUCAUAUGGUGUCAGAUCUUUCAAGGCUUUUGUAGAAAUUCGAUUUUGUAGGAAUACAACAGUGUUUGUUGCCUCCCCCCAUAACCCUUUUGGAAGAUUCUUUUCAUGGAGCAUACACCUUGUCAUCUCCAUAAUGAAUCUGUUCUUCCUUUCACUGACACCAUUCUGUCGAGGAGUAUAUGGUGUUGUUAAUUGAUGUUGAAUUCCAGCUUCUUCACAAAAUUUGUUGAAAGCAUCAGAGGUGUAUUCCUUGCCAUUGUCAGACCUUAUAAUCUGAAUUGAGCAUCCACUUUCAUUUUCAACUCUGGUUUUGAAUUUCCAGAAUAUACUGGGAACCUCUAACUUUUGUUUCAACAUGAAAAUCCAACACAUUCUUGUUAGAUCAUCAAUAAAAAUUAUGUAGUAGAGGUUACCAUUUAAUGAAGGUGUUCUCUGAGGACCACACAAAUCAGUGUGCACCAGUUGCAGCUUUUUCGAGGCUCUCCAAGCUUGUUUAGGGAAAGGUUGUCUGUGUUGCUUCCCAAAAUUGCAGGCAUGACAAGGAGGAAUAUUAUCAUCAAUGUCUGCGAGUCCUUCAACUAGCUUCUUUGAUUGCAUCUGAAACAAUCCUUGAUGAUGAAAGUGCCCAAGUCUUUUGUGCCAAAUCUCAGUGGCACUAGCUCUGGACUUGAAGGCCAUUUGUUCUUUCUCCAUUGGAUUUAAAGCAAAGCUUUUUCCUUUCAUUUUGACAUUGAACAAGUCUUUGCCACUAGCAUCUCUAAUCAAGCACUGUUUAUUCUCAAACAACACUUUAUAGCCUUUAUCGAGUAGGUGGCCAACACUUAAGAGAUUUUGAUCAAUUUUAGGUACAAAUAAAACAUCUGAAACAAAUUUUGUACCUUCAUAGCUUGCUAUAGCUACUGUGCCUUUUUCCCUUGACUUCCAAGAGUUCACCAUUUCCAAUUCUCACUCUCUUAACUUCAGUGUUUUUUAAUUCUUCGAAAAGCUCCUUGUCAUAUGUCAUAUGAUUUGUGCACCCACUGUCAAUCAACCAGCUCUCACUUGAUUCUCUACUUGAGAAACAAGUGACCACGAACAAUUGAUCUUCUUCUUGACCAACAACUUGUGCAUCUACUUCUUGCACCUGACCUUUGACUUUGCAGAUCACAGCUUCAUGUCCAAGUUGAUUGCAUUUGGAGCAUUUUGCAUCGGGUCUUCUCCAACACUUGUAUGGUGGAUGACCUUUCUUCUCACAGUGGCGGCAAGGUGGGUAGGAUUUUUUGGAACCUUCUUCCUUUUUUAAGUUUUUCUUCUUUUUGUACCUGUUGUUGUCUUGAUGCUUGACAGGUAAAGCUCCUUCAAUCACCCCUUCUUGCCUCAUAGACCUUCUUUGCUCUUGUGCUUGUAAAGCAUUCAAGAGCUCUGUAAGAGAGAUUUUUGACAGGUCUUAGGUGUUCUCCAGAGUAGUAAUGGUGGCUUCAAACUUCCCGGGAACAGUGACCUGCAGCUUUUCAACAAUCCUAGAGUCAAUACACACAGAACCAAGUAAUCUCACCUUAUUGGCAAUGCUGAGAAGUCUGUCAGAGUACUCCUUCAUUGACUCAAACUCCUUCCUCUUCUGCAACUCGAAAUCCUGAAUCAAAUUCAGGACUUUCAUUCCACGAAUCCUCUCAUCUCCUGCAAAUUCACCCUUGAGGUAAUCCCAAAUUUCCUUUGUUGUUUUGAGGGACAUUAUUCGUGUGAAGAUCAUUUGAGAUAUAACUGCAAAUAGGCAAGCUUUUUCCUUUGAUUUUAUGGUUUUUUUCUCCUUCUAUGCUUUGAUUUGUGCAACAGUAGGAUUUGCUGGAAGUGGAGGGACUUCGUAAUCUUCUUCUACUGCUUCCCAAAGAUCCAAAGCCUUCAGAUAAGUCUCCAUACGAAUUGCCCACAUUUGAUAAUUGUCUCCAUCAAAGACUGGUGGUGCAACAGCUGAAAAACUUGAUUCUCCUUCCAUUUUGACCUCACAGAUCCCUUAAGAAGAGUGCUUUGAUACCAAUUUGUUAGUUUCAAAACAAAUAAUAUUUGAUUGAUCAAUUGAGAUGAUAUAUUAAAGUUGGAAAGUUGUGCAUUUGUACACAGAAUGAAUAAAGAUUGUUCUAAAAAACAGAAAAUAAAUAUGGUAACAAACCAAUAGUUAAAACAGAAUUAAUUAAUUUUCUAAAAAUCUGGAGACUUAUUCAAUAACAAAAAAAAGCUAACUUGUAGGAUGUUAAACACAUGAUCCUAACAAACAUUCUUAAAUAUCAACUUUUUUUUAAAAGAACUAUAGAAAAGGUUUCAUAAAACCAAUAAAAGAAGAAAGAGUUUGGUUACUGACUUACCACGUCAAAAACAGCCUUAAGUUAACU